UCCCAGGUGGCUCAGAUGGUAAAGAAUCUACCUGCAGUGCAGGAGAUCUGGGUUCGAUCCCUAGGUUGGGAA
Molecule: transfer RNA, 72 nt
Filed under: Bos taurus (domestic cattle)
Lineage: Eukaryota; Metazoa; Chordata; Mammalia; Artiodactyla; Bovidae
Also listed under: 4 other names
Rfam family: tRNA
About the family: Transfer RNA (tRNA) molecules are approximately 80 nucleotides in length. Their secondary structure includes four short double-helical elements and three loops (D, anti-codon, and T loops). Further hydrogen bonds mediate the characteristic L-shaped molecular structure. tRNAs have two regions of fundamental functional importance: the anti-codon, which is responsible for specific mRNA codon recognition, and the 3' end, to which the tRNAs corresponding amino acid is attached (by aminoacyl-tRNA synthetases). tRNAs cope with the degeneracy of the genetic code in two manners: having more than one tRNA (with a specific anti-codon) for a particular amino acid; and 'wobble' base-pairing, i.e. permitting non-standard base-pairing at the 3rd anti-codon position.
Source: Rfam by way of RNAcentral